This 634-nucleotide long non-coding RNA is filed under the name Mus spicilegus (steppe mouse). RNAcentral describes it as "lncRNA (ENSMSIG00000019571.1)". Lineage: Eukaryota; Metazoa; Chordata; Mammalia; Rodentia; Muridae. The record is from RNAcentral.
AAAGGGAAGGACAGGGUCUGGAUAAAUGGGACACCAUCUCCCUGUACAGCCACCUUCAGUGUCCAGUGCCCACACAGAUUCAGCCAGUGUGUACUUUCAAUACCAUCCAGACCAGGGAGAGAAAGGGCAGACAUAGACAGGCCAGGAAGCCAAGGAAAACUCUAUGUGGCCCUUCAGAGGACCACAUGUCUCUUGGGGGCAGGGAUGAUAGGAAAUAAUGUUCACAGACAUCCCUUGGAACUGUGUGGUGAUUGUGUGAGACACAGAAUGCCAGCACUGCCCUCGGGUCAGGGGCCCAAGGAAGAUUGGGAUGUCUGUCACAGGCCACUCAGCGCUGGAAUCCUCAGGGAUAGUGACCACGUCACAGGCUUCAUUCUUGGCAUGAAAGCCUUUUGGCUCAUCAGGAAGCGUCAGAGACACCGAAGUCCAAGGACAGAGCCCAUGGCUGCUCCCAUCAAGUGCCAGGUGGACAGUAAAGAGGCAGAAUGUGAAUAAACAAGUCCACAGAGCCACUGACACGAGAGUGGUGACAGCCGUCCUUUCCAUGAGAGGCCCCUUACCACCCUGGACCCUGGCCAAAAUACCAAUCCAUUCAACUCAUCCAUCAGCCUGACAGGCCCUGAUUCAGUUGCCC